Molecule: signal recognition particle RNA, 98 nt
Filed under: Acidobacteriota bacterium
Lineage: Bacteria; Pseudomonadati; Acidobacteriota
Description: Acidobacteria bacterium signal recognition particle sRNA small type
Rfam family: Bacterial small signal recognition particle RNA
About the family: The signal recognition particle (SRP) is a universally conserved ribonucleoprotein involved in the co-translational targeting of proteins to membranes. Archaeal SRP consists of a 7S RNA and homologues of the eukaryotic SRP19 and SRP54 proteins.
Source: RNAcentral
GUAUCGGUCCCACGCGACGCACUCUCGCCAACCCCGCCAGGUCCGGAAGGAAGCAACGGUAACGAGCUCUGGCGUGUGCAGUGGGUUCCCGGUGCCUG